AGGAAAGGAUAGGGCAAUAUAAAUAAUUUUAAUUUAAUUUUGAGAUGAAAUUUUAUGAGACCAAAGAAGACAAAAGUAAAUUGACCAUUUAAAGAUUAUGAUUUCUUCUUCCAACCUAUUUCUGUAUUAUAUUUUUUAAGAUUUUGUGGUUAUAUCCAUAUAUCUAUCCUUCAUAGAGAAGUUGUGAAAUCAUAAUCCACCUUAAUUUGUUAUAGGUACAUUGAGCUGUAUUCAAGAUGCAUCAGUUUGGAAUACAAGCAACAUGGAAUUGCUGUUCAGUGCCAGAUCCCAUUACUCGUGGCGACAAAGAUGGCAUCCAUUAAAAGGUCUUCUUUCUUCAUUCCAUCCCCAGAGACAUAUAGCAAAGCAAGUUUACGAGCAAUCGGUUACGAGCAGAUUUCUAUACCAUACUGGCCACAUUCUCUGCAGUGUUGCCUAAUCCGAGCUCUCCCAGAUAUUGUACAGGAUUGCUGUCUUCUUCGGUAUUUCCUUGGAAUGCGAAAGAGAGGGCUCAAGAAACAACAGCAGGAGCAACAGCAAAAGAAGUAAUGAAAUAAUGAGUAAAGAAAACAGUUACCAUAAAGAUUAAUGAAAAACAGUAUGCUCUGUCUUUUGAAUAAAUGGAAUGAAGAAAAGAUGAAAUGGAGGAGAUAGAUACAUGGUAGUAAGAAAUUGUACUUUCAUCGGUGGUUGAUCUUUGGUCAUUAUUUUAAUUUUAAUGAUUUGGUUUGUACACUUUAAUUGUAAUUUCAAUUUAAUAUGGUUUGAUUUUGAUAA
Molecule: non-coding RNA, 777 nt
Organism: Camellia sinensis
Lineage: Eukaryota; Viridiplantae; Streptophyta; Magnoliopsida; Ericales; Theaceae
Source: RefSeq, a predicted model, not a curated record